CAGGACACAGAGACGUGAGACACUGGGUUUCAGACCCAGGGAGGCAGGAUGCCGUCCUCAAGCUGAGAAUCACUCAUGACUGGGCUGAGUCACGCGUCCCCGAAUAGAACAGAGGCCUGCGGCAGAGCUGAGGACUCUCUUAAUGACACCUCCACGGAUGGCUCGCCUUUACAUGGAAAGAAGCUGGAAGAACUUUAAAAGAGAACAACCUUAUUGAGAAAGCUUUUUGAGAGACCCAUCUUGAUUUAAUUGUUUAUCACUGAGACCUUUUAUCAUCAAAUUCAAUGGCAACAACUGUAAAGAUGAUUAGGUCAGAAUAAAGAUGCUCUGAGUUACUGUGUAAAGCUUUUAGACACUGCGUUUUCAAUAUAAAAUAUAGAUGAAGGUUUUGCAACAGAAAUAGUGCCAACACGAGUUUCUAUGUAUGGUCCAUGUAGACUGAAGCCACAGCAAUAGUAGUAGAUUCUGGCUUUC
Molecule: long non-coding RNA, 474 nt
Filed under: Mustela putorius furo (domestic ferret)
Lineage: Eukaryota; Metazoa; Chordata; Mammalia; Carnivora; Mustelidae
Description: lncRNA (ENSMPUG00000028041.1)
Source: RNAcentral